ACACCAGUGCUUUGACAGAGAGACCCCUUUAAAGUAAGGAAAAGUCCAGGGUUUUUGGUGUGGAUGCUAGGAGGGGCUUUAGCAUAAUUUGGCUCAUUGUAUUAUUACCCACAACUGGUAUUCCUGAGUGUGAACAGGGUGCUUUGUUCAUCGUGAAAUGGGAAUUAUGAGAAAUAUUUUUCUUUAUAGAGGAAGCCAGUUGGAAAAGCCAUGAAUUAGAUUAAUGAUUUGUGAUUCUUACAACCAGUUGGUGAAUUUCCUACGGGCAGGUGUAACUCGAGUUGGCAGUUCUGGCUCAGUGAAGGCUGAAUCAAGGUCAAGCAAAGGUGAAGUCUCCAACUAGACCCAGCCUUGGCAGCCGUGAAGCAGAAGCAAGAACUGCAGAACCAUGACAACACAGGAGCUUUGCGGCCAGAGAAGACCAGAUGUGAAUUUGGAUUCUAGCACGACUGACUAGCUGGGUGACUGUAUAAUUUACCUAACCUCUCCGACCAUCUGUAAAAUAGGAGACAUCCGGGGAGGAGGGGUGUGGCUGAAGCCAGGGAAGCCCACACCAGUGGCGUCACCGUCAUCCACUGCAUCCCAGGACCUGAGUGUUGGUUUGGAAGGCUGGGGAUGUCGUUGUCAGUGCCGGAUUAGUAAAGAGGCCUUGCAGACCGUCCGAUGCUGAUUAAAGUGCACAGUAGACCGAGGCAAACACCAGAAUUCUGAUGUAUUCGUUUAUAGUGAGAAAUAGAUCUGUCACAUGGACUAGAACUUUCCCAUUAGCAGGAUCAACAAGUCGCUCGGGAAGCCAAAUCUCCAACAGGAGAUUACCGGAGCAAGUAUAAAGCAGAGAAGGCAGACGUUGUGCUAAUGUAAUAAAUAUGUCUGAGGGCCGACUU
Leptonychotes weddellii (Weddell seal) is the source of this 884-nucleotide non-coding RNA. Lineage: Eukaryota; Metazoa; Chordata; Mammalia; Carnivora; Phocidae. The record is from RefSeq and is a predicted model, not a curated record.